GGUUCGAAUCCUGCACGACCCACCAAUUUAACAUCAAACUCAGAUGUUGAGCGUGAAGGAUAACGUUGCGUCAGCAACGGCCCGAAGGGCGAGCGAAGCGAGUCAUCCUGCACGACCCACCA
This 122-nucleotide small RNA is filed under the name Salmonella enterica. RNAcentral describes it as "partial RtT sRNA". It matches the Rfam family "RtT RNA", at positions 40 to 130 of the family's 130-position model. From Rfam's summary of the family: This family represents a bacterial cis-regulatory element known as RtT RNA. Lineage: Bacteria; Pseudomonadati; Pseudomonadota; Gammaproteobacteria; Enterobacterales; Enterobacteriaceae. The record is from RNAcentral.